CUCCCAAUACUUUGCAAACCCUUCAAAAAGGAAGACUUCCAACAAUGGUCAAAGGUGCAAGAUACAGCUUUCCUCUGAAGUCAAUCAGCUUCUUUUCACGGGGGUGUGUAUUCAAACUUCCAUCUGUUUCUACAAGUGCACCAUCAGUUACAACUGAUUCCAUUUCUGGACAACCAUUUUCGAGAUCUUUCUCUGGGAUACUUAAUCCUGAUACAAAAUUGAAUUCAAGGUCAGUUACAUGUUCUUAACACCAAAUAAACAGUAAAUACCUUCAACAAGUUGCACUACUCAGGAAUAAAAGCUAAGACAACCAUUAGCUUCUUCACUAGAGCAACACUUUUCUUCAAUAACUGACUUCGCUUUUUUCAGGGACCUUACUUCAUCAGUUGUUAUUAUUUCAUCAGCAUUCUCCUCUGUUAGCACUCCCAAAGAACACUCCCAUUUAUCAGCCAAUUCACGGACCACUUCACCGCAACCAUUCCCAUCAGUAGUGUGAGAGUCAUUCUCAGAGUUCUGAUCAACUUCAACAUCAUCCUGCUUUUUGACGCUUGAAUUGCCAGGUCCCAUAAGCCCAAGAGACCUGAGUUUGGCAUCUGCCUUUGGGAACUUUAUCUUAUUCUUCCACAGAAGCUUUUGAACGUCCUUGUUCAAUCCAUUAAUUUCAUAGCUUUUCUUUACUGCAUUUGAACUAUUGCCUGUAGCGCCAUCUUCAUGUCUGCCAUAGAAUCUACAGGUCAAGUCAUAAGGACACUGCCCUUUACCAGUCGUAAACGGACAUUUCCUCUCUAAAUCAACCGUUUUCUCAGCCUUAAAGGCUUCCAUAUCAUGGCUGAAUCUACACUUCUCACCAUAAGGACACGAACUAAUAGUCUCACUCUUCGCUACUUCGAAGCACAGAUGCAGUGCAGACUUUUGUUCAAAUCCAAUUGAAAAAAAACAAAAACUAAAAGGCAUAAGGAUGGAAAUUCAACAAAAUUUUCAUAAUGUGACGGCCGAAAAGUUGGUGGACCUGACGGCGUUCGCGCUUGAGUUGGCGUUUGGACUUCUUC
RNAcentral lists this unclassified non-coding RNA (1049 nucleotides) under Hevea brasiliensis (rubber tree). The record is from RNAcentral. Lineage: Eukaryota; Viridiplantae; Streptophyta; Magnoliopsida; Malpighiales; Euphorbiaceae.